AGUGAACGCUGGCGGCGUGCCUAAUACAUGCAAGUCGAACGGAGUGGCGCACGGGUGAGUAAUAUAUAGCUAAUCUGCCCCUUGCUGGAGGACAACAGUUAGAAAUGACUGCUAAUAUUCCAUAGCACGGGAUGUGACUAUAUCGUAUCAGAUAGUCGGUGGGGUAACGGCCUACCGAGGCUAUGACGCGUAACUGGUCUGAGAGGAUGAUCAGUCACAUUGGAGCUGGGACGCGGUGCAGACUCCUACGGGAGGCAGCAGUGGGGAAUAGUGCGCAAUGGGGGGAACCAUGACGCAGCAACGCCGCGUGGAGGAUGACACUUUUCAGAACGUAAACUCCUUUUGUUAGGGAAGCGGUACCUGACGAAUAAGCACCGGCUAACUACGUGCCAGCAGCCGCGGUAAUAC
Molecule: ribosomal RNA, 408 nt
Filed under: uncultured bacterium
Lineage: Bacteria
Description: partial 16S ribosomal RNA
Rfam family: Bacterial small subunit ribosomal RNA
Source: RNAcentral